GCCUGAUCAGAACAAAUAGAAAAAAGCAACAGUUGACCAAAAAGCUUGUGAGCAGGGAUGUAGAGAGAAACUGGCAGGGACUGAGAACUCAAACACUUUUAAAAACAAGACAUUAUGGAGUGGCAGAAAUGGUGGCAAACUGGAGAACACAAACCCUGUCCUUCAAAAAAAAAUACUACUUUUGUUUCCAAAUACUCUUUUAAUAAAACAAAUCACUAAGUACCAGAGUAGGUUAUAGCUGUUACAAUGGUAUCACAGAUUUAUUUCAGAGCUCAAAAGGAGUACUAUGGAUGUGACAUUAUCUCAGUUUGGCUUCUUAUCCAAAACUACGCCCUUAAAGACAUUAGUUCUUUCGAGUUCCUUAAAAUUCAAAAGUAUAUUAGUUCUAGUCUUGAGGUUGAUGAAUAUGUGUAUAAGCUUUAGGGAGAAAGUGUUAACGAAUGUAAUUUCUUAAAGGUCUAGAAAAGAAGGUUCAGUUUUAUUUCCCUGUCACUUAGAAAAAUGAUAGAAGCUCAUUCCUGUUUCUUCUGCUAUUUUUCAUAAGGGCAAUGACAAAAUGUAGGCUGCAGGCUCAGAAGUUCUCAAGAUAUAAAGGAUGGAAAGAUGGGCAAGAGAGAAGGGUACUUUCUAGGAGAGAAUGAAGAUACAGCUUUAGAGCAUUAAGCUCCAUGGAGUUGACAUUUUUAGAAGAAUCAGCCAGGAAGCAGCAUGGUGUCAUGGUUGGGAACAUGACCAGACUCCCUGGGUUUGAUUUUACCUACUUCAUAGGGGUGUUGUGAGACUUCACGCUCAAGUGAGAAGCCUUGUUCAAUUUAUGUCUACAAAUGCAUUGAGCAUCUAUGUACGUUUCAGGCACAAUACAAGGAGAAAAAAGGAUGAAAUUACACAGUAUCUGCCUUCAAAGAGAUUAUACUCUAGCAAAGGA
Molecule: long non-coding RNA, 925 nt
Organism: Canis lupus familiaris (dog)
Lineage: Eukaryota; Metazoa; Chordata; Mammalia; Carnivora; Canidae
Exons: 3
Source: RefSeq, a predicted model, not a curated record